CCUACGGGCGACAGCAGUGAGGAAUAUUGGUCAAUGGACGAGAGUCUGAACCAGCCAAGUAGCGUGAAGGAUGACUGCCCUAUGGGUUGUAAACUUCUUUUAUAUGGGAAUAAAAUGUUCCACGUGUGGGAUUUUGUAUGUACCAUAUGAAUAAGGAUCGGCUAACUCCGUGCCAGCAGCCGCGGUAAUACGGAGGAUCCGAGCGUUAUCCGGAUUUAUUGGGUUUAAAGGGAGCGUAGGUGGAUUGUUAAGUCAGUUGUGAAAGUUUGCGGCUCAACCGUAAAAUUGCAGUUGAAACUGGCAGUCUUGAGUACAGUAGAGGUGGGCGGAAUUCGUGGUGUAGCGGUGAAAUGCUUAGAUAUCACGAAGAACUCCGAUUGCGAAGGCAGUUCACUGGACUGCAACUGACACUGAGGCUCGAAAGUGUGGGUAUCAAACAGGAUUAGAUACCCGAAUAGUC
Molecule: ribosomal RNA, 460 nt
Filed under: uncultured bacterium
Lineage: Bacteria
Description: partial 16S ribosomal RNA
Rfam family: Bacterial small subunit ribosomal RNA
Source: RNAcentral